CUCAGAUUGAACGCUGGCGGCAGGCUUAACACAUGCAAGUCGAGCGGGGAAAAGUAGCUUGCUACUUAACUUAGCGGCGGACGGGUGAGUAAUACUUAGGAAUCUGCCUAUUAGUGGGGGACAACAUUUCGAAAGGAAUGCUAAUACCGCAUACGUCCUACGGGAGAAAGCAGGGGAUCACUUGUGACCUUGCGCUAAUAGAUGAGCCUAAGUCGGAUUAGCUAGUUGGUGGGGUAAAGGCCUACCAAGGCGACGAUCUGUAGCGGGUCUGAGAGGAUGAUCCGCCACACUGGGACUGAGACACGGCCCAGACUCCUACGGGAGGCAGCAGUGGGGAAUAUUGGACAAUGGGGGGAACCCUGAUCCAGCCAUGCCGCGUGUGUGAAGAAGGCCUUUUGGUUGUAAAGCACUUUAAGCGAGGAGGAGGCUACUCUAGUUAAUACCUAGGGAUAGUGGACGUUACUCGCAGAAUAAGCACCGGCUAACUCUGUGCCAGCAGCCGCGGUAAUACAGAGGGUGCGAGCGUUAAUCGGAUUUACUGGGCGUAAAGCGUGCGUAGGUGGCCAAUUAAGUCAAAUGUGAAAUCCCCGAGCUUAACUUGGGAAUUGCAUUCGAUACUGGUUGGCUAGAGUAUGGGAGAGGAUGGUAGAAUUCCAGGUGUAGCGGUGAAAUGCGUAGAGAUCUGGAGGAAUACCGAUGGCGAAGGCAGCCAUCUGGCCUAAU
RNAcentral lists this ribosomal RNA (723 nucleotides) under Acinetobacter albensis. RNAcentral's name for it is "bacterial SSU rRNA". It matches the Rfam family "Bacterial small subunit ribosomal RNA", at positions 23 to 738 of the family's 1533-position model. The record is from RNAcentral. Lineage: Bacteria; Pseudomonadati; Pseudomonadota; Gammaproteobacteria; Moraxellales; Moraxellaceae.